Molecule: ribosomal RNA, 460 nt
Filed under: uncultured bacterium
Lineage: Bacteria
Description: partial 16S ribosomal RNA
Rfam family: Bacterial small subunit ribosomal RNA
Source: RNAcentral
CCUACGGGUGGCAGCAGUGAGGAAUAUUGGUCAAUGGACGCGAGCCUGAACCAGCCAAGUAGCGUGCAGGAUGACUGCCCUACGGGUUGUAAACUUCUUUUAUAAAGGAAUAAAGUGAGGCACGUGUGCCUUUUUGUAUGUACUUUAUGAAUAAGGAUCGGCUAACUCCGUGCCAGCAGCCGCGGUAAUACGGAGGAUCCGCGCGUUAUCCGGAUUUAUUGGGUUUAAAGGGAGCGUAGAUGGGUUGUUAAGUCAGUUGUGAAAGUUUGCGGCUCAACCGUAAAAUUGCACUUGAUACUGGAGGCCUUGAGUACAGUUGGGGUAGGCGGAAUUCAUGGUGUAGCGGUGAAAUGCUUAGAUAUCACGAAGAACUCCGAUUGCGAAGGCAGCUUACUAAGCUGCCACUGACAUGGAGGCUCGAAAGUGGGGGUAUCAAACAGGAUUAGAUACCCGGGUAGUC